AGGCUUGCUGGGUGGAUUAGUGGCGAACGGGUGAGUAACACGUGAGUAACCUGCCCUUGACUCUGGGAUAAGCGCUGGAAACGGCGUCUAAUACCGGAUACGACCUGCCCCGGCAUCGGGUGCGGGUGGAAAGUUUUUCGGUCAAGGAUGGACUCGCGGCCUAUCAGGUAGUUGGUGAGGUAAUGGCUCACCAAGCCGACGACGGGUAGCCGGCCUGAGAGGGUGACCGGCCACACUGGGACUGAGACACGGCCCAGACUCCUACGGGAGGCAGCAGUGGGGAAUAUUGCACAAUGGGCGAAAGCCUGAUGCAGCAACGCCGCGUGGGGGAUGACGGCCUUCGGGUUGUAAACCUCUUUUAGUAGGGAAGAAGGGCUUCGGCUUGACGGUACCUGCAGAAAAAGCACCGGCUAACUACGUGCCAGCAGCCGCGGUAAUACGUAGGGUGCAAGCGUUGUCCGGAAUUAUUGGGCGUAAAGAGCUCGUAGGCGGUUUGUCGCGUCUGCUGUGAAAACCCGAGGCUCAACCUCGGGCCUGCAGUGGGUACGGGCAGACUAGAGUGCGGUAGGGGAGAAUGGAAUUCCUGGUGUAGCGGUGGAAUGCGCAGAUAUCAGGAGGAACACCGAUGGCGAAGGCAGUUCUCUGGGCCGUUACUGACGCUGAGGAGCGAAAGCGUGGGGAGCGAACAGGAUUAGAUACCCUGGUAGUCCACGCCGUAAACGUUGGGAACUAGAUGUGGGGACCUUUCCA
Molecule: ribosomal RNA, 750 nt
Filed under: Rathayibacter festucae
Lineage: Bacteria; Bacillati; Actinomycetota; Actinomycetes; Micrococcales; Microbacteriaceae
Description: bacterial SSU rRNA
Rfam family: Bacterial small subunit ribosomal RNA
Source: RNAcentral